UACGAAGGGGGCUAGCGUUGUUCGGAAUUACUGGGCGUAAAGCGCGCGCAGGCGGUUCUUCAAGUCAGUGGUGAAAGCCCGGAGCUCAACUCCGGAAUUGCCAUUGAAACUGUAGAACUUGAGGAUGAGAGAGGUGAGUGGAAUUCCCAGUGUAGAGGUGAAAUUCGUAGAUAUUGGGAAGAACACCGGUGGCGAAGGCGGCUCACUGGCUCAUUUCUGACGCUCAGGCGCGCCAGCGUGGGGAUCAAACAGG
RNAcentral lists this ribosomal RNA (253 nucleotides) under uncultured bacterium. Its description in RNAcentral is "partial 16S ribosomal RNA". It matches the Rfam family "Bacterial small subunit ribosomal RNA", at positions 524 to 776 of the family's 1533-position model. The record is from RNAcentral.